CUACGGGAGGCACCAGUGAGGAAUAUUGCACAAUGGGGGGAACCCUGAUGCAGCAACGCCGCGUGGAGGAUGACGCAUUUCGGUGUGUAAACUCCUUUUAUAUGUCAAGAAAAUGACGGUAGCAUAUGAAUAAGCACCGGCCAACUCCGUGCCAGCAGCCGCGGUAAUACGGAGGGUGCAAGCGUUACUCGGAAUCACUGGGCGUAAAGGACGCGUAGGCGGGUUGGAAAGUCAGGUGUGAAAUCCUACAGCUUAACUGUAGAACGGCACUUGAAACUUCUAAUCUAGAGUAUGGGAGGGGGAGAUGGAAUUAGUGGUGUAGGGGUAAAAUCCGUAGAUAUCACUAGGAAUACCUAAAGCGAAGGCGAUCUCCUGGAACAUUACUGACGCUAAGGCGUGAAAGCGUGGGGAGCAAACAGGAUUAGAUACCCGAGUAGUC
Molecule: ribosomal RNA, 439 nt
Filed under: uncultured bacterium
Lineage: Bacteria
Description: partial 16S ribosomal RNA
Rfam family: Bacterial small subunit ribosomal RNA
Source: RNAcentral